UCCUACGGGGGGCAGCAGUGGGGAAUAUUGGGCAAUGGGCGCAAGCCUGACCCAGCAACGCCGCGUGAAGGAAGAAGGCUUUCGGGUUGUAAACUUCUUUUAUGAGGGACGAAACAAAUGACGGUACCUCAUGAAUAAGCCACGGCUAACUACGUGCCAGCAGCCGCGGUAAUACGUAGGUGGCAAGCGUUGUCCGGAUUUACUGGGUGUAAAGGGCGUGCAGCCGGAGAGACAAGUCAGAUGUGAAAUCCGCGGGCUCAACCCGCGAACUGCAUUUGAAACUGUUUCCCUUGAGUAUCGGAGAG
This 305-nucleotide ribosomal RNA is filed under the name uncultured bacterium. RNAcentral's name for it is "bacterial SSU rRNA". It matches the Rfam family "Bacterial small subunit ribosomal RNA", at positions 337 to 656 of the family's 1533-position model. The record is from RNAcentral.